CGGCUGCACCCGGACAGACAAUCUGCAACCUCUGUCUCUGGGCAGUCACCAGACAACCCCCUGAAAACUCUCCUCUCCAAACACAGGGACAAUGAGACUUUGGUUGUAUCUCGUUCUCAUUGCAGCAGCGUUUGAAGGUGUCCGGUCCCAGGUGCAGCUGGUGGAGUCCGGAGGGGAUGUGAAAAAGCCCAGAGAGACUCUCCGCCUCUCCUGCAAAGCCUCCGGCUUCACCUUCAGCAGCUACUGGAUGGGCUGGGUCCGUCAGGCUCCCGGGAAGGGACUGGAGUGGCUCACCUGGAUUCACGGCUCUAGCAUAUACUACAGUGACUCCAUAAAAGGGCGAUUCACCAUCUCCAGAGAUGACCCCAACAGCCUGCUGUACCUGCAAAUGACCGGCCUGAAGCCCGAGGACACUGCCCGAUAUUACUGUGCGAGAGACACAGUGCAGGGAAUCCAGAUACUGCUUAUACAAAAACUCAAGCUGCAGAAUCUUCUUUCUGCCAUACGCCGCGUGGGGGCAGCACUUCCACAAACCAUCCAGCCCUGGGCCCAGGAACGGGAUCUAGAACCAGAGCGAAAAAACCUCUCUCGUCAGGUUUGAGAUCUCUGUAUUCAUAUACGAUCACGUGUCCAUAAAAACUGCAACAACUUAACUAUCACAUGCUUACACUGACGCUAAUCAGAGACUGAAGUAAAACUGCAGACUGCACAAGAGAAAUAUUUGGGGGACCAAUUGUUCAGUGUGAGAAUCAGAACUUGGGCUUCCAAAGCUGCCUAAAAGUGAUGACUGUGCAAAUGCUUUUGUUGUUUGUUGGGGGAUGGGUAGAAUUGCUCUCAAAUCCCUCUGAAAAACAAUAAGAUGCCAGUGUCGAUCUAACACACACUUCAAAGGGUACAUCA
Non-coding RNA from Chrysemys picta bellii (western painted turtle), 900 nucleotides. NCBI's taxonomy places the organism in Eukaryota, Metazoa, Chordata, Testudines, Emydidae. The record is from the annotation of a RefSeq genome assembly.